Molecule: ribosomal RNA, 94 nt
Filed under: Leucetta microraphis
Lineage: Eukaryota; Metazoa; Porifera; Calcarea; Clathrinida; Leucettidae
Description: partial 28S ribosomal RNA
Source: RNAcentral
UCAGUCCGUCGUGUUGCAGCUGCCGUAGGGUGCACUUGACAUCAUGCUGGCUCAAAUCGUUCGAAACAAGCCAUCUCUGGAGAACUUUCGCGUG